RNAcentral lists this transfer-messenger RNA (343 nucleotides) under Nephroselmis pyriformis. It matches the Rfam family "transfer-messenger RNA". Rfam says of the family: Bacterial tmRNA, also known as 10Sa RNA or SsrA, is named for its dual tRNA and mRNA-like properties. Lineage: Eukaryota; Viridiplantae; Chlorophyta; Nephroselmidophyceae; Nephroselmidales; Nephroselmidaceae. The record is from RNAcentral.
GGGGUCGUUCUGGUUUCGACACAAAGGAGCAGAAGGUAUGGUAGGUCAGUCGAAAGGGGUGUCGACUUUUGUACUCAACGCACAUUCUUGUGACAUGCUAAUCACAUUAUUCCUUUUACUCGACGAGUUGCUGUAGCAGCUUAAUUGGACAUAGUAUUCCAUCGAGUUUAGCGUGACUCAUACUUGAGAUUAAGAUAGGAGCGAUCUUUUAGAACGCUAGUAAUGCUUUACUAUCCAGCUUGAUCGGAUAGUUCCUGUUGCAUGGAUCAAUCAACUAUACUGAUGAGCCCCAACCUUAACAUUGAACCUAUUGUGGACGCGGGUUCGAUUCCCGCCGACUCCA